GAUGAAGAACGUAGCGAAAUGCGAUAAGUAGUGUGAAUUGCAGAAUUCAGUGAAUCAUCGAAUCUUUGAACGCACAUUGCGCCCCUUGGUAUUCCAUGGGGCAUGCCUGUUCGAGCGUCAUUUGUACCUUCAAGCUCUGCUUGGUGUUGGGUGUUUGUCUCGCCUCUGCGUGUAGACUCGCCUUAAAACAAUUGGCAGCCGGCGUAUUGAUUUCGGAGCGCAGUACAUCUCGCGCUUUGCACUCAUAACGACGACGUCCAAAAGUACAUUUUUACACUCUUGACCUCGGAUCAGGUAGGGAUACCCGCUGAACUUAAGCAUAUCAAUAGCGAGGA
Molecule: unclassified non-coding RNA, 335 nt
Filed under: soil metagenome
Description: partial contains 5.8S ribosomal RNA, internal transcribed spacer 2, and large subunit ribosomal RNA
Rfam family: 5.8S ribosomal RNA (bases 1-120)
Source: RNAcentral